Molecule: transfer RNA, 79 nt
Filed under: Bacillus anthracis str. Sterne
Lineage: Bacteria; Bacillati; Bacillota; Bacilli; Caryophanales; Bacillaceae
Also listed under: 3 other names
Description: tRNA-Asp
Rfam family: tRNA
About the family: Transfer RNA (tRNA) molecules are approximately 80 nucleotides in length. Their secondary structure includes four short double-helical elements and three loops (D, anti-codon, and T loops).
Source: RNAcentral
GGUCCCGUGGUGUAGUGGUUAACAUGCCUGCCUGUCACGCAGGAGAUCGCCGGUUCGACCCCGGUCGGGACCGCCAUUU